CCUACGGGUGGCAGCAGUGAGGAAUAUUGGUCAAUGGACGAGAGUCUGAACCAGCCAAGUCGCGUGAAGGAUGACUGCCCUAUGGGUUGUAAACUUCUUUUAUCUGGGAAUAAAAUGUUCCACGUGUGGGUUUUUGUGUGUACCAUAUGAAUAAGGAUCGGCUAACUCCGUGCCAGCAGCCGCGGUAAUACGGAGGAUCCGAGCGUUAUCCGGAUUUAUUGGGUUUAAAGGGAGCGUAGGUGGAGUGUUAAGUCAGUUGUGAAAGUAUGCGGCUCAACCGUAAAAUUGCAGUUGAAACUGGCAGUCUGGAGUAGAGGAGAGGUAUGCGGAAUGCGUGGUGUAGCGGGGAAAUGCUUAGAUAUCACGAAGAACUCCGAUUGCGAAGGCAGCUCACUGGA
Molecule: ribosomal RNA, 398 nt
Filed under: uncultured bacterium
Lineage: Bacteria
Description: partial 16S ribosomal RNA
Rfam family: Bacterial small subunit ribosomal RNA
Source: RNAcentral